RNAcentral lists this ribosomal RNA (549 nucleotides) under Leptuca dorotheae. RNAcentral describes it as "partial 16S rRNA". It matches the Rfam family "Bacterial large subunit ribosomal RNA", at positions 1831 to 2625 of the family's 2925-position model. The record is from RNAcentral. Lineage: Eukaryota; Metazoa; Arthropoda; Malacostraca; Decapoda; Ocypodidae.
GUCUAUUUGGAGAUAUAAAAAGUCUGGCCUGCCCACUGAUAGAAUUUAAAGGGCCGCGGUAAUCUGACCGUGCAAAGGUAGCAUAAUCGUUAGUUUUUUAAUUGGAAUCUUGUAUGAAUGGUUGAACAAAAGAAAAUCUGUCUCUGUAUUUUUUCUUGAAUUUAACUUUUAAGUGAAAAGGCUUAAAUGUUUUAAAAAGACGAUAAGACCCUAUAAAGCUUUAUAAGUAUUUUUAUUUAAUUAAAUUUUUUUAUAAAAGUUAAAUGAUAAAGAUUUAUUUUGUUGGGGCGACAAUGAUAUAAUGUUUAUUAACUGUUUAAUUCUAAGACAAAUAUUAUUGAUUAAUUAAUUAUUAAUGAUCCUUUAAUUAAGAUUAAAAAUUUAAGUUACUUUAGGGAUAACAGCGUUAUUUUUCUUGAGAGUUCAUAUCGAAAGAAAAGUUUGCGACCUCGAUGUUGAAUUAAAAUUUCUCUGUAAUUGCAGAAGUUACAGAAGAAGGUCUGUUCGACCUUUAAAUUUUUACAUGAUUUGAGUUCAAACCGGCGUGAG